AACCCACGUCUCCUGCCUUGCAGGCAGCUUCUUUACCACUGAGCCACCAGGGAAGCCUGGGAGAAAACCCAGCAACAGCAGAGACAACUGCAAGCCUCUGCCCCUCCCAGUUCAGCCCCAUCUUCCUGGCCAGGCCCUCACUUUUAGCCACAGUCUCAGUCCAGCCUCACCCUGUGCCUGGGAAGUGAAGAAAGGCACUUCUAAACAAAGCUCAAGUGGCGGUUGGCUUCCCGCCUGGCCCAAAGGAGCCAGACUCGGCUAAUAGCAACGCAGCCUCCGAAGACCCUUCACACUCUUCCCACACUGCCAAUGUCUGUUAUUGGCCCGACUCCCACGGGAGCUUC
Molecule: long non-coding RNA, 344 nt
Organism: Bubalus bubalis (water buffalo)
Lineage: Eukaryota; Metazoa; Chordata; Mammalia; Artiodactyla; Bovidae
Exons: 3
Source: RefSeq, a predicted model, not a curated record